AGGGAUCGAACCCGCAACUUCAUGGUUCCUAGUCGGAUUCGUUAACCACUGAGCCACAAUGGGAACGCCUCAACAUCAACUUUUAAGAUAUGUCUAGUUCAUUGCUUGUCAUUGCUAGAUAGGAUUCCACGGUACACACCCUCCAUGGUCAAUCUAGCCGGUCCCCUGGGGGUGGUGCUGACUACUCAAAGGCUGGACAGAUGGCCCUGCUCAGGCUCCCCAGUGUUUACUCCCGGCAUCCUGCCUUCCAUGCCCAGGAGGCAGGCAGGAGCCUGACGUCUUGCCUACUCUGCCAGACAUUCUGCGUGGCCCCGGGCAGCCCUGACCCUUCUCCAGGCUUCACUGCCUCCUUUUAUACACACAGGAUUGUCUUUUUUCUCAUUCAGGGCCUGGAGCCUGGGGCCGGCCCCCUGUGAACGCUCUUCCCUAGAAGGAAUAUGUUGACUGUGGGGUCCAGGCGGCACAGAGGCUGGACCAGGACUGUGGAGACGCCGAGUCAGAGGGCGGCAGAGGCCCCUGGGAAUGGGGCCCAAGGCCAUUCUGCCCGCAUGCAGGCAACUCUGGUCUGGAGGAAGCCCUUCAGCCUAGGGGGGCCCAUCAGAGCCUCCAGGGCAGCGAAGACACAGAGCUGCGGAACAAGGACCAGAGUUCUGCAUUCCCACUCUGCCCCUGGAGCUUGCUCUGUGGGGGAUCCAGGGCCCCUCCUGAGGGCCGAUAUCCUCCCGCCCCACCUAGGGCGGGCCUGGAGCUGCUGCCUGGCCCACACGCCAGCUCAUGGGAAGCCCAAGGUCUGUCUUCCCUUCCCUGGCGGGACUCGGCUGGGGCCUUCUGGCGGGAGACUCCAGCAGGCCAUUAUGCCAUCUCGUCCAACACCCCCCUGUCCAGCUCCCUGCCCUUUCUUCGGCUCCGUUUCCCCAUGUGGAUGAUGGGGAGAUUAGACUGACUGUCCCUUGAGAGCAGGUUUGAUGGCUCCAUAAACACUUGGAGAUUAAAAUAUUUUCAGGAGCUAUUCAGUCCAUUCUCCAGCUUUGGGCAAGAGCCCAAGACCUCUCACAACCUCUGCAGACGAUACUUUAGCUGCCAGGAAAUUCUCCCACCGUCUGACCUAAAUCCUUCCUGCUUUAGCUGCAAUCUGUUCCCUCCUGCUCAGUGGUUCCUGGAAGCGGCCCAGAGUGGAGGGUCUGAGGUUACUGCUGUUGCUUGCCCACACCUCACCUGUUUUCCUUUUGGCUUCCCCUUUUCUGUGGUUUCCGGAAACCACACCCCCUUUGAAAUCUUUCGGCCUCCCGCUCACAAGAUGUAGACGAAGGAAAGUGGAAUGCAAAAGAGCCCUAAUCUCUCAUGCCUGGGGCUGCAGGAUAAACAAUGUCCAGCAGGAACCGGUCAGUGGGUUGUGAAAUAUGUACAGAGCGGGAUGUUUUGGCCCCGCAGCCCGACUCCAGAGGAACCCUUAGGUGGGGAAAGCCGAAAGCGCAUAGAGCUCGGCCUUGAAUAAAGAGGAGCCAGAAGGGCUUCCGGGGUGGGAGCUGGCAGCUCCAGGCCCUGAGAAAUAACCAUCAAAUAAGCAGGACCUAAAAUUGUCAGUGCCAGCCUGGUGGUACCACAUCUGAGUGACCGGCAGGCAGGCCAGGUGGCCGCAGGAUCUGCUGCGGCUCACUAUGAAGGGCAAUUUCAGCCCAGGGAAAGGAGCUGGGAUGGCCAUAAAGCCUGGCCCAGACCCUCCAGUGGCUCCCUAUUCACUUAUGGAGUCAAGUUCAGACUUCUCAGGGUGGCAGAUAAGGCCUUCUGUGGUCUGACCUUAACCUGGCCUUCCAGAUCUGAACCCUAGGGAUCAGUAGGCAGCUCCUAGCACAACUGACCUUUUCUGCCCCUAACCUCUGACCUCCCAGUGUCCUUGUCCUGGAAUUCCCUGUCAUAUACACGUACCCCCCCUCACAGACCUACCCAAAGCCUACGUUAUUAGCCUUCCUCUGCCACUGCCUGGCGCCCUGCCCUCUUCCCCCCUCGCAGCGUUUGCUGCUCUCAGACCUGGAGAGGCAGUCCUGGGGCAGGGAUGGCCUUGCCCCUCUGGGUGGCAGGACCAGUCUCCGAGGAGAGGAUUUAUGUUUAUCAAUUGAGCAGACUGCUCAGGAAGUAGCUGGGGCUGAGCUGGAAGAGGCUGCUGCUCACCAUCGUGAAGGAAAGCUACUUUCCCCUCUGGCCAAGCCUUCUGCCGUCUCCUUGCACACCUCACUCGCUCACACUCUCCCCAGUGUGAACACAGCCCCCAUCCUGGCAGGCCCUGCUUAGUGGCCCUGGCUGGCUUCCAGAAGCCUCUGUGGAUUCUGCAGUCUCCUAGGUUCCCUUCCUGCCCCUCAGACCCUUCACAGUGACCUGAACUCUUUAUCUUUCUUACAGAACCUGCUCAGCCCAUGGCCCUUCCACCCUAGCUUAGGGCAACUUCUUCCUUUUAGCUGCAAAGGCCAUAACCCCUUCUGUUCUGCCUGACCCCUUUCUCUUACACCCCACAUCCAAUCCAUCAGGAAAGCCCAUCAGCUCUAGCUCCAGAAUAGAUCCUGACUGCCCACCACUUCUGUGGUUACCCCCUGCCUGGCCACCAGUAUCUUGCCAGCCUCCCCCUUCCUGCCUCCUCACUGUCCAUUCCCAGCAAAGCAGUAAGGGACCCUGUUUCAAUGUCACCGCACUAGCUCCCCAAUGCAUGGAGAGUAAAAGCCAAAGUCCCCACAGUGGCCUACAAGGCCCUCCAUGGUCGGGACCCUGUCAUCUCUCUGACUUGUCUGCUCUAACUGCGCAGGAACACACUUGAAAACCCCAGGGAAUUCCUACCUCAGGGCCUUUGCACUGGCUGUUCUUCUGUCUGGGAUGCUCUGCCUGUGGUAGCUGCAAGGCUCACUCAUGUGCCUCCUUUAAGUCUUUGCUCAAAGGCCACCUUUGCAGCCUCUCCCAACACUCCAGAUCUCCCUGACUUAUCUCUGUUUUUUCCACCUUCUAUUAUUUAUUAUGUUUACCCAUGAAAAUGCAAGACCCACGAGGGCAAGGAUUUUGUCUCUUUUUUAAGCAAAUGAAUACCCAGCUCUAGACCAGCACCAGCACACAGUAAGGCACUUGGUGAAUAUUUGUUAAAGGGUUGGAUUUCCUUGGGAGAUGCUAUCCAGAUGAGAGCCAUGGGGAGGGGAAGGGGGGGGCUGAGGCUGGCCCAGGUCUGGUGCACAGUGUGUUCUGAGAGCUGGCGAGCCAGGCGCGGUGGAGGUGGGCCUGGGCCAUGGCAUCCUGCCUACCUGGUUUCUUGCUGCUGGGCUGAGGCCACGGCGAGGACAGGGAUGGGUCCGGGGCGCCCCUGAAUUCCCUGUACCCAGCUAAGGGCCUGGCACCUGUGCAUCCUCAGCGAGCACGAGCACAAAUACCAGCCCCCCACAGAGAGAGAGUCUGCUGGCACUGCCCUGUGAGCAGAGCCUUCAUUAUCAGGCGAAGGCUGGGACUGAGUCCAAAAAACCUUUCUUUUGAAAAAGGCUUAGCAUUGGGGCUGGAAAAUCCAUGGUUCCAAUGGGCCCAUGAAGGGGAGGAAGGGUGGGUUGUCUCCUGAGACUUUGGUGGUAAACGUCCCUGAGGCCUUGACAUCCCCAUCUGACUACCUUCCUGCUCUGGUUCUAACCCGCUCUCCCCACCUUCAGGUGAUGCCGCAGUGCUGGGUUUCUGGGUGCCCCUCAGUGACGGGGAGGGACCGGGUGCAGCCUCGGCUUGCAAUCUGGAAUCCAGACAAAAAGGCCCUUCGGGUCCAGCUGCCUGUGGUGAGGAGGCCGCUGGGUCAGGGCAGCGGAGGGAGGAGACCCAGCCUCUCCUUCCGGCCUCCCUCCCGAGCGGAUUGUGCUCCGCAGGAAUGUGGGGCACAGAAUUGGAAGCAGGUGUGGGCUGCCUGGGCGGACCUGGACCACCCGCUCCUCCCCCGCCCCUUCCUCUGCUGCCAUUCCAGCCACUGCCCUGGGGAGUUUUCCAUGUGUUCUUGGCUUGUACAGGAGUGGGGUGGACUUGGGCUGGAACUGCUGGGGAGAGGUGCCCCUUUGAAGGUGAGAGGGCAUGAAGAUGGGGGCCCCUGGGCGGUGGAGAGAGGGAGGAGAGGGGACAAAAGGCCAGAACCGCCCCCCCCCCCCGCCGCCCCUGCCCCGAAAACACACAAGUGCGGCAGAAGCCUGGAGCCCGUGAGGCCCUAGAAACUCCCCACCUGGCUCAGCCACCCUCCCCAAAGGCUCUGUGGGGCCUGAGAGCUCAAAGCAAAAAAAUUCCAACGAUUUGUGUCCUAGGGGGUUUAGACCUGAGGGAAACAAUUUAACCUGGAGACAUAGCUUCCCUGGGGGGCAGGAGCAGAGGGAGGGCUGCAGCGGUUCGGUGGGGGAGAGAGAGUCCAGUCUGGGCCCAAGCUUGGCCACCGAUGAACUCUGAGACCCUGGACGAGUUACUGAACUUCUCUAGCCUGGGUUGCCUCCUCUGUGAAACAUGGACGUUAACACCAUCUACCUCACAAGCUUGCUGGGGGACUCAAAGAGGACAUGAACAAAAAAUGCUCAGCAUAGUGUCUGGUGCCUGUGAAGGGUUCAACAAUAUCAGCUGCUAUUAUGAGUAUUUAACAUGGGGGCCGUCUCUUCUUGCGGGGAUGGUUGUUUGAGAGCCAAGGAGAGAGGACGUGGCCUAGCCACUGGAUGAUCUGAGAGGAGACAGGGAGUCUGCCUGCCAUGAGGCUGCCCCGGUCAUGAUGCCAGCGUUUGUUCCCACACCAGGGCCCUCUGGUUGGCAAACAGGGGAGUAGGAAGAGGACCCAGGGCCCUCUGUCUCCACAACUGUCUGGCUCUUUCCCCCAGGUUCCUCGCCUGAAGACUCCAUUUCUUUCUGAAGGAGCAACUUGAGACCACUUCUGGAAGUAAGGAGGGAUCCUGAGCUGUGAUUCUGCCUCCACCAGUCACCAGUAGGUAGCCUUGGGCAGGUCACUUAACCUCUGAGGGCCUCAGGUUCCUCCUCUGCAAAAGGAGGGGAGUCAUAAUACCCAGGGUUGCUAUGAGGGUUGAGCGACUGUGAUUGUGAAGCUCCAAGAACAGUGUUAGGCGCUGAUACGCGCUAGAGACGUAGAUGUGUUUGUUAAACAAACAUGCUGGAGUCUGGAGUGGGGAUGACAAGGCUGCAAGCCAACGCCACACGGAGGAGGUGCUCUUUGCUUCCAAAGCUGUGCACACUCACUGUCCAGCCCUCACUCUGUUGCAACCCAUGCCCAGAAUGUGGGAGAAGUCGAGUAUCUACUGAAUGACCAAAUGGAUGUGCAAGGGCCUCCUGCCUCUGAUAAAACCAAGAAUCCCAGGGGUAUAUGUGAAAUCCAGUCUAUGGGUUGAUCCUGGUACUGUUGCCUCAAGGGAGGAGGACAGCCCGCGGGCCUGCCAAGGUGUCCUGUGAUCUUCAACUGAACAUCUGUGCCUUGCAGUGCUGUGGGUGCUUUGGCAGAGUCUCAUCAGCAGCACUGAUGCUGCCAAGCAUUUUGUCCAGUGCAGGUUCCCUGGGCAGCUCUUCUGGGCCAGAGCCUGUGCUGGGAGCUGAGGACAGACAGAUCAGACCUGCUCCUCAUUCUUGAGAAGACAGCCAACAGAGAAAUGAGAAUGCUGAGGCUGACCGUGAGCAAAAUGAAUUCAGAGUAUGUAAGUGUUUUGUCCUUCCUCCCCUCCUAAGUCUUUUCUUCUCUCUCUACCACACGCCAGGGCACCCAGCUAGGCACCUGCCAGGAACUGCUCCAUAAAGCUUGCCCUCUAGAUCACUGAGGCAGGGCCUUCUGUGGCAGCAGAGAUGCCCAGAAUUUGGUGGCUUCGAACCAAAUGCACCUAAUCCCCCUGUAGCAGAAGCCAGUUCUGGUUCAGCUGCAUUUAGGAAAGGACAGUUCUAUGCCAGCACAGCGCCCACCUCAAACACCUGCGGCCCUUCUCUCCCCUUUCUUUCUGAUGCCACAAGAGCUGAUUGGGCUCAUGAUCAAGUUCCAUCCAGAAGAGCAGAGAAGUGAACAGCCCUCUGGGGCAAGCCCUGGGCCAAUAGGGGUUGGGAACCAGUGGAUAACUCUUCCAGCCUUCCAGCCUUUUGGCAAACAGUUCAAGAGGUCCCAGGGAGUAGAGCCCCACCUGUGCCCUAGCUUCUCAGCUCAUGCUCCUUUAUUUAUUUAUUGACCCCAGGCUAGGGGUCAAUUCAGAGCCACAGCC
This is a long non-coding RNA of Sus scrofa (pig), 6224 nucleotides long. RefSeq lists it as uncharacterized. The record is from RefSeq and is a predicted model, not a curated record. NCBI's taxonomy places the organism in Eukaryota, Metazoa, Chordata, Mammalia, Artiodactyla, Suidae.